AACUAAGGCUAAUUCCAUUAACUCUUCCCUACUCUUUUCUUUUGAUAAGAGAGUUUUUAAAACCAGUGUUAUUUAUGUAAGUUUAAGAGAAGUUUAUGUAUUAAAUUAUUGAUAUUAAAUAGUUUUAUUAGGCUUAGACUUAAUUUUAGGUCAUUUUGGGGGUUUAGCUCAGUUGGCUAGAGCAUCGGCUUUGCAAGCCGAGGGUCAAGGGUUCGAGUCCCUUAACCUCCAUUGGGCUUAUGCCCUAAAUUGUAAUUAAGUAUGUUUUUAAGUAACUUUGUUAAAGUAAUUGUUGGAAUGUGAAACACAAGAAGUUAAAAUUUCUGGGUUAAGUUGAGAUCUGUUGAUAUUAAGAAAAAUGUCUAGAAGCAAAAGCAAGCUUUCGAUAAAACCCGAAGUUGUUUCGCUAAAGUGCAAGGAUUAAACAGGAUUGUAUUUUUCAGCAGCCUAUUUUAUAAACGAUCUGCAUUUAGUAAAUAGUUUUUAGUUAGGAAAUAAUGUAGAUUACUAAGUGUGAUGUCUGAGAGAAGGACAAGUAUUGUAGCGAGCUUAAAUCCUUAUUAUCGUUGCCAGUAUUUAGUGGUAGGGAUUCGGAUAAGAUUGCCAGUUAUAAGUUGGAGGAAGGCAAAGAUUGCAUUAAAUCGUUAUCGCUCUUAUGUUUUAGGUUACAAGUUUGCAACAAUAACUCAAAAAAGCCAAGCAAAAUACCAUAUAGCAGAUUUCAGUUUGGAUUUGCCCGACACUCAAUGGCAUGAAGUUGU
RNAcentral lists this unclassified non-coding RNA (761 nucleotides) under Borreliella burgdorferi (Lyme disease spirochete). RNAcentral describes it as "partial contains 16S ribosomal RNA and 16S-23S ribosomal RNA intergenic spacer". The stretch from base 158 to 231 matches the Rfam family "tRNA". Lineage: Bacteria; Pseudomonadati; Spirochaetota; Spirochaetia; Spirochaetales; Borreliaceae. The record is from RNAcentral.